Molecule: ribosomal RNA, 497 nt
Filed under: uncultured bacterium
Lineage: Bacteria
Description: partial 16S ribosomal RNA
Rfam family: Bacterial small subunit ribosomal RNA
Source: RNAcentral
GAUGAACGCUGGCGGCGUGCCUAAUACAUGCAAGUCGAGCGAACAGACGAGGAGCUUGCUCCUCUGACGUUAGCGGCGGACGGGUGAGUAACACGUGGAUAACCUACCUAUAAGACUGGGAUAACUUCGGGAAACCGGAGCUAAUACCGGAUAACAUGUUGAACCGCAUGGUUCAAUAGUGAAAGACGGUUUUGCUGUCACUUAUAGAUGGAUCCGUGCCGCAUUAGCUAGUUGGUAAGGUAACGGCUUACCAAGGCAACGAUGCGUAGCCGACCUGAGAGGGUGAUCGGCCACACUGGAACUGAGACACGGUCCAGACUCCUACGGGAGGCAGCAGUAGGGAAUCUUCCGCAAUGGGCGAAAGCCUGACGGAGCAACGCCGCGUGAGUGAAGAAGGUCUUCGGAUCGUAAAACUCUGUUAUUAGGGAAGAACAAAUGUGUAAGUAACUAUGCACGUCUUGACGGUACCUAAUCAGAAAGCCACGGCUAACUACGUG